This 506-nucleotide ribosomal RNA is filed under the name uncultured bacterium. Its description in RNAcentral is "partial 16S ribosomal RNA". It matches the Rfam family "Bacterial small subunit ribosomal RNA", at positions 29 to 523 of the family's 1533-position model. The record is from RNAcentral.
AGUGAACGCUGGCGGUAGGCCUAACACAUGCAAGUCGAACGGCAGCACAGGAGAGCUUGCUCUCUGGGUGGCGAGUGGCGGACGGGUGAGGAAUACAUCGGAAUCUACUCUGUCGUGGGGGAUAACGUAGGUAAACUUACGCUAAUACCGCAUACGACCUACGGGUGAAAGCAGGGGACCUUCGGGCCUUGCGCGAUUGAAUGAGCCGAUGUCGGAUUAGCUAGUUGGCGGGGUAAAGGCCCACCAAGGCGACGAUCCGUAGCUGGUCUGAGAGGAUGAUCAGCCACACUGGAACUGAGACACGGGCCAGACUCCUACGGGAGGCAGCAGUGGGGAAUAUUGGACAAUGGGCGCAAGCCUGAUCCAGCCAUACCGCGUGGGUGAAGAAGGCCUUCGGGUUGUAAAGCCCUUUUGUUGGGAAAGAAAUCCAGCUGGCUAAUACCCGGUUGGGAUGACGGUACCCAAAGAAUAAGCACCGGCUAACUUCGUACCAGCCGCCGCGGUAA